GAUGAACGCUAGCGGCAGGCUUAACACAUGCAAGUCGAGCGGCAGCGCGGGAUAGCAAUACCCUGGCGGCGAGCGGCGGAAGGGUGCGUAACGCGUGAGCGACAUGCCCCUUGCCCGGGGAUAACCGGUGGAAACGACGACUAAUCCCCGAUGGGAUAUUGUGCCGCAUGGCACGAUAGUGAAAGUUACGGCGGCGACGGAUUGGCUCGCGUCCGAUUAGCUUGUUGGCGGGGUAACGGCCCACCAAGGCUGCGAUCGGUAGCGGUUCUGAGAGGAAGGCCCCCCACAAUGGGACUGAGACACGGCCCAUACGCGACAGGGAGGCGGCAGUGAGGAAUGUUAGUAAAUGGGCGGAUGCCUGAACCAGCCAUGGCGCGUGCGGGAAGGAGGCCGUGUGGGAUGUGAACCGCUUUUGCCUGGGGGCAAUAAGGGCGUCGCGCACGUCCGAUGAGAGUACCAGGCGAAUAAGCAUCGGCUAACUCCGUG
Molecule: ribosomal RNA, 486 nt
Filed under: uncultured bacterium
Lineage: Bacteria
Description: partial 16S ribosomal RNA
Rfam family: Bacterial small subunit ribosomal RNA
Source: RNAcentral